RNAcentral lists this ribosomal RNA (203 nucleotides) under uncultured bacterium. RNAcentral describes it as "partial 16S ribosomal RNA". It matches the Rfam family "Bacterial small subunit ribosomal RNA", at positions 524 to 735 of the family's 1533-position model. The record is from RNAcentral.
UACGUAGGGUGCGAGCGUUGUCCGGAAUUAUUGGCGUAAAGAGCUCGUAGGCGGUGUGUCGCGUCGGCCGUGAAAACCUGGGCUCAACUCUGGCGUGCGGUCGAUACGGGCAUCACUUGAGUUCGCAGGGGAGACUGAAUUCUGGUGUAGCGUGAAAUGCGCAGAUAUCAGGAGAACACGUGCGAAGGCGGGGUCUCUGGGGC